GAUGAACGCUGGCGGCGUGCCUAAUACAUGCAAGUCGAGCGAACAGACGAGGAGCUUGCUCCUCUGAUGUUAGCGGCGGACGGGUGAGUAACACGUGGAUAACCUACCUAUAAGACUGGGAUAACUUCGGGAAACCGGAGCUAAUACUGGAUAAUAUAUUGAACCGCAUGGUUCAAUAGUGAAAGACGGUUUUGCUGUCACUUAUAGAUGGAUCCGCGCCGCAUUAGCUAGUUGGUAAGGUAACGGCUUACCAAGGCAACGAUGCGUAGCCGACCUGAGAGGGUGAUCGGCCACACUGGAACUGAGACACGGUCCAGACUCCUACGGGAGGCAGCAGUAGGGAAUCUUCCGCAAUGGGCGAAAGCCUGACGGAGCAACGCCGCGUGAGUGAUGAAGGUCUUCGGAUCGUAAAACUCUGUUAUUAGGGAAGAACAAAUGUGUAAGUAACUAUGCACGUCUUGACGGUACCUAAUCAGAAAGCCACGGCUAACUACGUG
RNAcentral lists this ribosomal RNA (497 nucleotides) under uncultured bacterium. RNAcentral's name for it is "partial 16S ribosomal RNA". It matches the Rfam family "Bacterial small subunit ribosomal RNA", at positions 28 to 507 of the family's 1533-position model. The record is from RNAcentral.